AAAUUGAAGAGUUUGAUCAUGGCUCAGAUUGAACGCUGGCGGCAGGCCUAACACAUGCAAGUCGAACGGUAACAGGAAGCAGCUUGCUGCUUCGCUGACGAGUGGCGGACGGGUGAGUAAUGUCUGGGAAACUGCCUGAUGGAGGGGGAUAACUACUGGAAACGGUAGCUAAUACCGCAUAAUGUCGCAAGACCAAAGAGGGGGACCUUCGGGCCUCUUGCCAUCGGAUGUGCCCAGAUGGGAUUAGCUUGUUGGUGGGGUAACGGCUCACCAAGGCGACGAUCCCUAGCUGGUCUGAGAGGAUGACCAGCCACACUGGAACUGAGACACGGUCCAGACUCCUACGGGAGGCAGCAGUGGGGAAUAUUGCACAAUGGGCGCAAGCCUGAUGCAGCCAUGCCGCGUGUAUGAAGAAGGCCUUCGGGUUGUAAAGUACUUUCAGCGGGGAGGAAGGGAGUAAAGUUAAUACCUUUGCUCAUUGACGUUACCCGCAGAAGAAGCACCGGCUAACUCCGUGCCAGCAGCCGCGGUAAUACGGAGGGUGCAAGCGUUAAUCGGAAUUACUGGGCGUAAAGCGCACGCAGGCGGUUUGUUAAGUCAGAUGUGAAAUCCCCGGGCUCAACCUGGGAACUGCAUCUGAUACUGGCAAGCUUGAGUCUCGUAGAGGGGGGGUAGAAUUCCAGGUGUAGCGGUGAAAUGCGUAGAGAUCUGGAGGAAUACCGGUGGCGAAGGCGGCCCCCUGGACGAAGACUGACGCUCAGGUGCGAAAGCGUGGGGAGCAAACAGGAUUAGAUACCCUGGUAGUCCACGCCGUAAACGAUGUCGACUUGGAGGUUGUGCCCUUGAGGCGUGGCUUCCGGAGCUAACGCGUUAAGUCGACCGCCUGGGGAGUACGGCCGCAAGGUUAAAACUCAAAUGAAUUGACGGGGGCCCGCACAAGCGGUGGAGCAUGUGGUUUAAUUCGAUGCAACGCGAAGAACCUUACCUGGUCUUGACAUCCACGGAAGUUUUCAGAGAUGAGAAUGUGCCUUCGGGAACCGUGAGACAGGUGCUGCAUGGCUGUCGUCAGCUCGUGUUGUGAAAUGUUGGGUUAAGUCCCGCAACGAGCGCAACCCUUAUCCUUUGUUGCCAGCGGUCCGGCCGGGAACUCAAAGGAGACUGCCAGUGAUAAACUGGAGGAAGGUGGGGAUGACGUCAAGUCAUCAUGGCCCUUACGACCAGGGCUACACACGUGCUACAAUGGCGCAUACAAAGAGAAGCGACCUCGCGAGAGCAAGCGGACCUCAUAAAGUGCGUCGUAGUCCGGAUUGGAGUCUGCAACUCGACUCCAUGAAGUCGGAAUCGCUAGUAAUCGUGGAUCAGAAUGCCACGGUGAAUACGUUCCCGGGCCUUGUACACACCGCCCGUCACACCAUGGGAGUGGGUUGCAAAAGAAGUAGGUAGCUUAACCUUCGGGAGGGCGCUUACCACUUUGUGAUUCAUGACUGGGGUGAAGUCGUAACAAGGUAACCGUAGGGGAACCUGCGGUUGGAUCACCUCCUUA
Molecule: ribosomal RNA, 1543 nt
Filed under: Escherichia coli
Lineage: Bacteria; Pseudomonadati; Pseudomonadota; Gammaproteobacteria; Enterobacterales; Enterobacteriaceae
Description: bacterial SSU rRNA
Rfam family: Bacterial small subunit ribosomal RNA
Source: RNAcentral